UUGCUUUGGCAGCACAUAUAGUAAAAUUGGAAUGAUACAGAGAAGAUUAGCAUGGCCCCUGAGCAAGGUUUGUACAGUGCUUUACACAUAUGAUCUCAUUUGGU
Dromiciops gliroides (monito del monte) is the source of this 104-nucleotide small nuclear RNA. The record is from RefSeq and is a predicted model, not a curated record. NCBI's taxonomy places the organism in Eukaryota, Metazoa, Chordata, Mammalia, Microbiotheria, Microbiotheriidae.